This 253-nucleotide ribosomal RNA is filed under the name uncultured bacterium. RNAcentral describes it as "partial 16S ribosomal RNA". It matches the Rfam family "Bacterial small subunit ribosomal RNA", at positions 524 to 776 of the family's 1533-position model. The record is from RNAcentral.
UACGGGGGAAGCAAGCGUUAUACGGAAUUAUUGGGCGUAAAGCGUCCGUAGGUGGUUGGCCAAGUCUGCUGUCAAAGGGUGUGGCUUAACCUCAUAAAGGCAGUGGAAACUGGCGAGCUAGAGUGCGGUAGGGGUAGGGGGAAUUCCCAGUGUAGCGGUGAAAUGCGUAGAGAUUGGGAAGAACAUCGGUGGCGAAAGCGCCCUGCUGGGCCGGCACUGACACUGAGGGACGAAAGCUAGGUGAGCGAAAGGG